This 2754-nucleotide long non-coding RNA is filed under the name Nicotiana benthamiana. Its description in RNAcentral is "long non-coding RNA (NBEN_LNC029844)". Lineage: Eukaryota; Viridiplantae; Streptophyta; Magnoliopsida; Solanales; Solanaceae. The record is from RNAcentral.
CUAUAUGCAUAUGCAAAAUUCCGAUUUUCAGAUACUUAUGGACAUGGUUUCUACAUGAGAGAAUGCAACAUUCAGAAUACUUGUCUAUGUGUAAAAUGCAGAAUACCUAUAGGUAGGAUAUCUAUGUGAGAAUGCAGAAUUUCAGAAAUACCUAUAGAAUGGCUAUAUACCCUUUGCAUACAUAGUUAUCCCUCCCCUUUUCACUAGCUAUCCCCGAGAGUUUAUUACAAAAUUAUUAUAACCCAGAAUAAAGUAAAAGAAUACAUCAGAAAUUAAAAAGUACAACCAAGGAAAGCUUGAUUCAGGCUUCAUGUCUCAAAUAUAAGGUAAACCAACUCCAAGAGAUCAUGAUCCAAAGCCUUUCUCCCAUUUGAGUGUGUCAGAGUUUCCUAAGAGUCUCAAAUGAACUCCGGGCAGUGCUCACACCCAAAUGUGUUACCACAUUAAGACAAGUGCAGUAUGGAAAAGGCCAGCCCUCAAGUGUCCAAGUUCAGAGGGAACUUAAAGUCCCAAGGUAAGGCUUAUAAGAGAGGGAAUGAACUUAAAGACUAAGAGAGAGUGCAAGUGCAGGAAUAGAAUCCUGGGACAGGGUGUUUAGGGGAAAGGGGAAAUUAAAAAAGGCAAGAGUAGGCUGUGGGCAUACCCAGCAAUGGGGAAUGCUAGCACACCCAUGAGCCUGUUAGAACACACUAUUUAAAAGCUAGAAUCCCAAGGGAUCAAGUUUAGUUCAUGGACAAUAACUUACAUAUUGCCAUGUCUUAAACCAUAGCUCAAACACAUAAGGAGGCAGGGGUUUAGGAUUUAUAAUAGAAACAUGCCGAAAGAAAUCAACAUGCUAAUUUAAGAAUUGAAUUAUUCAGAAACAGUAAGAACACAUGAAUAUAAAAGCAGUAAAUAAACACAUUGUUAUGGUGCUAAAGCUUAAAUCAGGAUAUACCAGUUUUAAAGAAACAAGUAGAGAAAAUUAGUAGGUCUUGUAAAUGGGCCACAGUGCAGCCAAGGAGAGAAAAUACUAUUGUAUGUAAGUGUGAGUUCAGAAAGAUUAAGAAUUAGUGAUUGAGUUUAUGAAAGAGUCAUGCCAUUAUAGUGUGAAAAUCGUGUAGAAAUAAGGUAAGAAAUAGUUAAGGAACUGAAUAUCAAUUAAGAAUCAAUCACACAGGACUUCCUUUAAUUAAGGAAUUUAGAUUCAAAUGGUAAAAGUUAUUUUAGGAAAGAAAUCAAACAAGCAAUUUGUGUAAACUAUGCAAUUAGGGGUAUAUACAAGAAGUUUACUAAAGGACAGAAUUUUAAAAUACACGGUUGCACAAAUAAGGUAAAAAAAGCAAUUAGUAUCCAGUAAAUCAGAGGUCAGAGAUUUUGUAAUUAUUGGUCCAUGAAUGAACCAAGUUAGAAAAGCUGAGUAAGGUUUUAACUUAAGUCGAACCAUAGUGAAAUCAGCAAACAAUGGAAAGAAAUCAAUCAGACCUAUUUAGAAGGAAGUCUGAACUAAUCACAAAUUUAAAAGCAUUUUAAAGGGAAGUUUAUCACAUAUAAAGAGCAUACAGACAUGUUAAGCUGAAAGAAGAUGUUGUGUCAUUGUAAAAUUAUUAGAUAAUAGACUACAGGGGAAUGGUUAUCACAUAGGUCAGCAAUGUUGAAGAGAAGUAGAAUCUAGUAGCAUACAAAAGAUCUAGUGUAAAAAACCUUAGAAGAAGUUAGCAAAAGUCAGAAUCAUAUGAAAAAUAAGUAUUUCAAAACUCAGUUCAGAGACUUGAAAUAGGUAUAAAAGAGUUAGGGUUUUUUGAAAUAAAACCAGUUCAGGCAAAUUACAUAGCCAAUGGCUUCCAAACUUGGAAGAGAUCCCAAAUUCUAGGGUUUCUACCAUCAAUCAAGUGUAGAGAUGAGAGGACAAGUAGUUAAGUCGAAACAAGUUCAGAGGUUUCAGAAAAGAACUGAAACCUUUAACAUGUUCCUUUCAGCAACAGAAACUCAUGAGAAAGAUGAUAGAAGAGUAACAUGCGAAAACAGCAGAAGAGCUCAAAAAAAACAUGGUAAAAGAAACUAAUACAAAGCAUACUAGAGAAAUUGAUAGGAACAGUAGGAGAAGCAUAUUAGGAAGUAUUAAAAGAAACUUAACUAGAACAUAGUAUAGGAAACUUAAUAAGAAAUACUCAAUAACACAAUAGGGGAAAAUACAGUAGAAAAAACACACAAGAAUAUAGUAGAUAAAAUACAGUAGAAGAAACACACAAAAGAAAGAGAAAAUCAGAGAAACAUCUAAAAUUUUCAGAGAACCCUAGAUCGGAAAAAGAGAUGGUUUCGAAAGUAUAGUUUUAAAAGGAAAUCUAGAAAAUUAUUUAAAAACUUAGGGAACACAUAGAUCUGGAACAGAUCUAAAGAGAUCAGAAAAACCUCAAAGCUAGGAUUUUCAGAGAAACCCAAAUAGUGAGAAAGGCUUGGAUCUAAACAUGAGGAGUCGUAGCCAGGCUCAAAACAGACAUAGCUUACCGGAGCAGGGUCGGAGAUGGCCAUUGAACUUAAGUCGUCAAAGGUCUGGACUCAACUCUUCGUGGUCGAGUCACGAAGCUUCAGUUAACCAAACGUGGGGAGCCAUAGGUGGCUUGGUGGGUGGUGAAACCACCAUCGGUUUAGGUUAGAAGGUGGUCGGAGAAGAUGAACAGAACCCAUCGGAGAGGAAGGAAGGGGGAAGGUUCUAGAGAGAACCAAAAGUAGAGAGAUACACAUGAGGGAGGAAUGAGAGGGGUAUUGGGGGGG